ACCUGACUUCACUCACUCCUAAUCAAUGCUCUACUCUAUAUGUACCGCCCAUUUCCUUUGUUCUGGCUGGCAGCAACACGAAGCAGCAUGUGAGGGCCCUCUGUCCCUGGGAUUCAGAUACAAAACCUAUGGUUGUGCGUGAUAAAAAAACCAUAACCGUCAAGCCUCACCAUCUCCUAUUGCUCUCAAUGUGUGCAUAGUGACAAUAAAUGGCUUAAACGGAAA
This is a long non-coding RNA of Centropristis striata (black sea bass), 225 nucleotides long. RefSeq lists it as uncharacterized. The transcript is spliced from 2 exons. The record is from RefSeq and is a predicted model, not a curated record. Lineage: Eukaryota; Metazoa; Chordata; Actinopteri; Perciformes; Serranidae.